RNAcentral lists this long non-coding RNA (291 nucleotides) under Anser brachyrhynchus (Pink-footed goose). RNAcentral describes it as "lncRNA (ENSABRG00000013318.1)". Lineage: Eukaryota; Metazoa; Chordata; Aves; Anseriformes; Anatidae. The record is from RNAcentral.
GUGAGCUCUGAGGAACUGCUAUUUGGGUCUGCGUUGAGUAGGCAGGUUGCUGCUCAGAAGGGACACUUGAGAACAGCUACUCCCAAGAAAACCCCUUGAAACAACUGACAGCGAACUGAAACAGUGGCUUUUCCUGCACGGAGCUGCCACAUCUGUCAAGCACUGCAGCAUAUUGGGUUUUUUUUCAGCACAGCUAGAAAACCAAGUGCUCUCUGACUACGGAAAUUUCCUUUUUGUACAAUUAAAGGACUAAGCAUUUAUCCAGGGUUUAUCUGCUUGGUUUUAUCUGGG